CGGCAGGCUACACAUGCAAUUCGAGGGGUAACAGGAAAGCUUGCUUUCGCUGACGACCGGCGCACGGGUGCGUAACGCGUAUGCAACCUACCUCAUACUGGAGAAUAGCCCCUGGAAACGGGGAUUAAUACUCCAUGGUAUCAUUCUUUCGCGUGUUAGAAUGAUUAAAGAAUUUCGGUAUGAGAUGGGCAUGCGUCCCAUUAGCUAGUUGGUGAGGUAACGGCUCACCAAGGCGACGAUGGGUAGGGGGCGUGAGAGGGUGGUCCCCCACACUGGUACUGAGACACGGACCAGACUCAUACGGGAGGCAGCAGUGAGGAAUAUUGGUCAAUGGAGGCAACUCUGAACCAGCCAUGCCGCGUGAAGGAUGACGGCCCUAUGGGUUGUAAACUU
Molecule: ribosomal RNA, 393 nt
Filed under: uncultured Flavobacteriia bacterium
Lineage: Bacteria; Pseudomonadati; Bacteroidota; Flavobacteriia
Description: bacterial SSU rRNA
Rfam family: Bacterial small subunit ribosomal RNA
Source: RNAcentral